Molecule: ribosomal RNA, 459 nt
Filed under: uncultured bacterium
Lineage: Bacteria
Description: partial 16S ribosomal RNA
Rfam family: Bacterial small subunit ribosomal RNA
Source: RNAcentral
CCUACGGGAGGCAGCAGUGAGGAAUAUUGGUCAAUGGGAGAGAUCCUGAACCAGCCAAGCCGCGUGAGGGAAGACGGCCCUAUGGGUUGUAAACCUCUUUUGUCGGAGAACAAAACCCGGGACGUGUCCCGGACUGCGUGUAUCCGAAGAAAAAGCAUCGGCUAACUCCGUGCCAGCAGCCGCGGUAAUACGGAGGAUGCGAGCGUUAUCCGGGUUUAUUGGGUUAAAAGGGUGCGUAGGCGGUCCGUUAAGUCAGAGGUAAAAGUGCGGGGCUCAACCCCGUCGAGCCGUUGAAACUGGCAGACUUGAGUUGGCGAGAAGUACGCGGAAUGCGCGGUGUAGCGGUGAAAUGCAUAGAUAUCGCGCAGAACUCCGAUUGCGAAGGCAGCGUACCGGCGCCAGACUGACGCUGAGGCACGAAAGCGUGGGGAUCGAACAGGAUUAGAUACCCGGGUAGUC